Molecule: small nuclear RNA, 107 nt
Organism: Capra hircus (goat)
Lineage: Eukaryota; Metazoa; Chordata; Mammalia; Artiodactyla; Bovidae
Source: Ensembl
GUGCUCGUUUCGGCAGCACAUAUACUAAAAUUGGAACAAUACAGAGAAAAUUAGCAUGGCCUCCGCACAUGGAUGACAUGCAAAUUUGUGAAGCGUUCCAUAUUUUU